Molecule: long non-coding RNA, 1113 nt
Organism: Tachysurus vachellii
Lineage: Eukaryota; Metazoa; Chordata; Actinopteri; Siluriformes; Bagridae
Exons: 2
Source: RefSeq, a predicted model, not a curated record
CGCUGUUGGUUGUUUUCUUGGCCAUUGCAUGUGUUUGAUUAUGAGAAGUGCACUGUUUUAAUGUGUUUUAGAGACGGCGAUUGGUUUGAAGAGCACUUCUGCCUUGACCCUACAAGUCGCGCUGUAAUGUCUGUUUAGUAUCGGCACAUAAAUCGGGCAUAGAUAUCGGAGAAGCUGUGAGCACCUGACGCAGUGCUGGAUCACUGUUUUGUAACGGCGUUUUCUGUGAAAGAUUCCAUUGGCUUCCUAUAAAACGUUGAUGUCUGCGAUUGGUGUCGUAACGGCUCGUAAUUAUUCCAGUCGGGCGUGCUCCGCGUUUGUAUGACUGCAGUGCUGUCCUGUUUCCAACCUGUUUCCAAUCGGGUUUCCAACCGGUUUCCAAUCGGGUUUCCAAUCGGGUUUCCAGAUCUGUUUUCAAACCUGCUUCCAAGUUUAUCUGUUGUUUAUUUUCUUUUUGUGGCUGUUCCAUAUUUUGUCUUUUUAGUUUUACAAUGUAUUAUUUUUGAAGUAUUUCAUUUGAAAUGUUGAUUUGAUUCUUUGGCUUGCUGUUGUUCUUCAGUUGCAUUUGGUUUUGUAUUGCUUCUGGGGUUUGAACAGUUAGUCUGGAUUUCGUGAUUUCUUGUCUAAGUUAUUUUAUUUUAACUGUAUUGGAUUUAGUUUCUAUUUAUAUAAUUUGGUUACAAAGUUUAUUUGCUUUUUUUUCUUUUUUUAUAUUUUGUAGAAGUUGAUUUAUUGGAGCAACUAUUUACUGGUUGUGAGAAUUGAAUUAUUUACUUUUGUUUUCUUGAAUUGACUCAGUCUUUAAGGUGACUGUGGUUGAUGUAUGUUAUCUUUUUUUUGGCAGGGCCUGAGCACUGGGGUGGAGGACUGGCUUUCGGUGGUGGUACUUCCUCACAAGUGUGUUGUGACUAUCUCACUGUAGGUGUGCGUAAACAGUGAAGUGCAGUGAUUCACCUAUGAGUGUGGCCUUUUGCUCUGUUUUUCUGUACUGGUAAGCUUUAGUCCCUGUCCCUUAAUUUGUCCAAGAAAGAUCUGUAGCUCGUUUGGCUGAAGGUUUUUUAUUUAUUUUAAUGUUUUAAUGAGAGUGUCAAUAAAGAGGACUUUGUAUUGUGA